GGGAUUGUAGCUCAGAGGGAGAGCGCUUACCUUGCAUGCAUGAGGCACUGGGUUCGAUUCUCAGUCCCA
RNAcentral lists this transfer RNA (69 nucleotides) under Ictidomys tridecemlineatus (thirteen-lined ground squirrel). Its description in RNAcentral is "Spermophilus tridecemlineatus (thirteen-lined ground squirrel) tRNA". It matches the Rfam family "tRNA". Rfam says of the family: Transfer RNA (tRNA) molecules are approximately 80 nucleotides in length. Their secondary structure includes four short double-helical elements and three loops (D, anti-codon, and T loops). The record is from Rfam by way of RNAcentral. Lineage: Eukaryota; Metazoa; Chordata; Mammalia; Rodentia; Sciuridae.